GCUGUCCCUUAGACCGACCCGUGAACGCGUUGUGCGAACAUCGCGGGGGGGUGAGGGUGCGUCCGCGCCCCGAUCCCCCUCGGCGCCCUCGCGCGCGCGACCGCGACCCGAUGCGCGGUCACGUCGCUUGCGGCCUAACAACGAACACCCGGCGCGAGUCGCGCCAAGGAAUCGGAAUGACCAGGAGCACGUCCGCUGCCCCCCGGUCCCGUACGAGGUGCUCGAGCGGGCUGCGGCGUGCCUCCUUCCGUCGCGAAAAUUACGAAACGACUCUCGGCAACGGAUAUCUCGGCUCUCGCAUCGAUGAAGAACGUAGCGAAAUGCGAUACUUGGUGUGAAUUGCAGAAUCCCGUGAACCAUCGAGUCUUUGAACGCAAGUUGCGCCCCAAGCCAUUAGGCCGAGGGCACGUCUGCCUGGGUGUCACGCUUCGUCGCCCCCUCCGCAACCCCUUACGGCCCGUCGGGGCCGGGGACGAGGCGGGGGCGGAAAAUGGCCUCCCGUGCGCACCCCGCUCGCGGUUGGCCUAAAAUCGGGUCCUCGGCGAUGACGACGCCGCGACGAUCGGUGGUGAUGCCUCGGGCGCGCCUCGUGCUUCGGUCGCGUGCGCCCGCGUCGCUCCGGACCCAUCGAGACCCUUCUCGCGUCGCGACCCCAGGUCAG
Molecule: ribosomal RNA, 661 nt
Filed under: Spirotheca rosea
Lineage: Eukaryota; Viridiplantae; Streptophyta; Magnoliopsida; Malvales; Malvaceae
Description: eukaryotic LSU rRNA
Rfam family: 5.8S ribosomal RNA (bases 269-424)
Source: RNAcentral